RNAcentral lists this ribosomal RNA (467 nucleotides) under uncultured eukaryote. RNAcentral's name for it is "bacterial SSU rRNA". It matches the Rfam family "Eukaryotic small subunit ribosomal RNA", at positions 174 to 628 of the family's 1831-position model. The record is from RNAcentral.
GCCGCGAGGCGACGGCGUUCUCGCCGGAUGUAGGAACCGACCCGGGGGACCGCCGGGGGCAACCCGGCGCCCCGAGACGGGGCGAACCACGGUGAAAUGACGGAUCCGUCGGCCCCCGCGCCGGCGACUCGCCGAAUGAGUUUCUGACCUAUCAACUCGAGACGGCGGGGUAGAGGCCCGCCGCGGUAACGACGGGUAACGGGGAAUCAGGGUUCGAUUCCGGAGAGGGAGCCCCGAGAAACGGCUACCACUUCCAAGGAAGGCAGCAGGCGCGCAACUUACCCCUAAUCUCGAUUCGAGGAGGUAGUGACAAGAAAUACCGAUGCGGGACCCUACGGGUGCCGCGUUCGGAAUGAGUACGAUUCGAACCACCUAACGAGGAACGAUCGGAGGGCAAGUCUGGUGCCAGCAGCCGCGGUAAUUCCAGCUCCAAUAGCGUACGUUAAAGUUGCUGCAGUUAAAAAGCU